This 1272-nucleotide ribosomal RNA is filed under the name Aesalus sp. JL-2019. RNAcentral's name for it is "16S ribosomal RNA". The stretch from base 1032 to 1190 matches the Rfam family "Archaeal large subunit ribosomal RNA", at positions 2542 to 2701 of the family's 2987-position model. The record is from RNAcentral. Lineage: Eukaryota; Metazoa; Arthropoda; Insecta; Coleoptera; Lucanidae.
UACUUUUAUUAAAAAUGUUUUUUUUAAAGUAAUACACUUUUUUAUUAUGGGGUUAGAAAAAAUUUUGGCUUAUUAUAAAUUAUUUUUACAGUGAUGGAUUAUUUUAAAAAAUUUACUAGAAAAGUUAUUUUCUUGUACCUUGGGUAUCAGGGUUGAUUUAAAAAUUUUGAUUUAUUUUAUUUUCUCGAAUCUUAAAGAGUUAAAUAUCUAUAUAUUUUAUUGUUUAAUAAAUAUUUAUAAUAGAUUUUUUGUAAUGAAACGUUAUUCGUUUUAAGGGGUAUCUAGUUUUUUAAGAAACAAAUUUAAUUUGUAUUUUUAUAUUCUAUAUUUUAAAUUAUUAGGUUAUAGAUAUUUAAAAAUAAAUAUUUUAGGGGAUGAGCUUUAAAAUAAAUUUUUAAAAUUUUUGUAUUAAGGGCUUAUUAGUAGGAUUAAAAUUUUUUAUCUUUAGAAUUUUGUUAUAAAAGAUAGGCUGAUAAUUAUAAUUUAUAUUAUUUUUAAUUUUUUUAUUAAAAUAUUUUGUUUAAUUUUUUUUUUCAUAAGAAAUAGUGAUUGAAUUAGUAUAUGUUUUUGUUUUAUAAUUUUGGAUAUUGAAGGUUAAUUGAAGGAAUUCGGCAAAUAAUUUUCUGCCUGUUUAUUAAAAACAUGUCCUUUUGAUUAAUAAUUUAAGGUCUAACCUGCUCAAUGAUUAGGAUUAAAUGGCUGCGGUAUUUUGACCGUACAAAGGUAGCAUAAUAAUUAGUUUCAUAAUUGGAAGCUGGAAUGAAUGGUUUGACAAGAAAAUUUCUGUCUCUUAUUAAUUGUAUUAGAAUUUUAUUUUUAAGUAAGAAAGCUUAAAUUUUAUUAAAAGACGAGAAGACCCUAUAGAGUUUUAUUUAAUUUAUUUUUAUUUUGUUUAAGAUUAGUUGUAUUUUAAUGAUAAAUUUUGUUUUGUUGGGGUGAUAGAAAAAUUUAUAUAACUUUUUUUAAUAUUUAUCAUUAAUUUAUGAAUAUUUGAUCCAUUGAUAGUGAUUAUAAGAAUUAAUUACCUUAGGGAUAACAGCGUUAUUGGAUUUAAGAGUUCUUAUCGAAAAUCUAGAUUGCGACCUCGAUGUUGGAUUAAAAUUAAUUUUGGGUGUAGAAGCUCAAACAUUAGGUCUGUUCGACCUUUAAAAUUUUACAUGAUCUGAGUUUAGACCGGCGUGAGCCAGGUUGGUUUCUAUCUUUAAUUUAUUUAUACUUUUUAGUACGAAAGGACCAGACGUAUAUAAUACUUAUUUUUAAUUGAAUUAUAUU